This 468-nucleotide ribosomal RNA is filed under the name uncultured bacterium. RNAcentral describes it as "partial 16S ribosomal RNA". It matches the Rfam family "Bacterial small subunit ribosomal RNA", at positions 28 to 507 of the family's 1533-position model. The record is from RNAcentral.
GACGAACGCUGGCGGCGUGCUUAACACAUGCCAGUCGAACGGAAAGGCCCUGCUUUUGUGGGUUGCUCGAGUGGCGAACGGGUGAGUAACACGUGAGUAACCUGCCCUUGACUUUGGGAUAACUUCAGGAAACUGGGGCUAUUACCGGAUAGGAGCUCCUGCUGCAUGGUGGGGGUUGGAAAGUUUCGGCGGUUGGGGAUGGACUCGCGGCUUAUCAGCUUGUUGGUGGGGUAGUGGCUUACCAAGGCUUUGACGGGUAGCCGGCCUGAGAGGGUGACCGGCCACAUUGGGACUGAGAUACGGCCCAGACUCCUACGGGAGGCAGCAGUGGGGAAUAUUGCACAAUGGGCGGAAGCCUGAUGCAGCAACGCCGCGUGCGGGAUGACGGCCUUCGGGUUGUAAACCGCUUUCGCCUGUGACGAAGCGUGAGUGACGGUAAUGGGUAAAGAAGCACCGGCUAACUACGUG